This 434-nucleotide ribosomal RNA is filed under the name uncultured Lachnospiraceae bacterium. RNAcentral's name for it is "bacterial SSU rRNA". It matches the Rfam family "Bacterial small subunit ribosomal RNA", at positions 341 to 792 of the family's 1533-position model. The record is from RNAcentral. Lineage: Bacteria; Bacillati; Bacillota; Clostridia; Lachnospirales; Lachnospiraceae.
ACGGGAGGCAGCAGUGGGGAAUAUUGCACAAUGGGGGAAACCCUGAUGCAGCAACGCCGCGUGAGUGAUGAAGUAUUUCGGUAUGUAAAGCUCUAUCAGCAGGGAAGAUAAUGACGGUACCUGACUAAGAAGCUCCGGCUAAAUACGUGCCAGCAGCCGCGGUAAUACGUAUAGAGCAAGCGUUAUCCGGAUUUACUGGGUGUAAAGGGUGCGUAGGCGGUAUGGCAAGUCAGAUGUGAAAGACCGGGGCUCAACUCCGGGGCUGCAUUUGAAACUGCCAGACUGGAGUGCAGGAGAGGCAGGCGGAAUUCCUAGUGUAGCGGUGAAAUGCGUAGAUAUUAGGAGGAACACCAGUGGCGAAGGCGGCCUGCUGGACUGUUACUGACGCUGAGGCACGAAAGCGUGGGGAGCAAACAGGAUUAGAUACCCUGGUA